This 312-nucleotide non-coding RNA is filed under the name uncultured fungus. RNAcentral's name for it is "eukaryotic LSU rRNA". The stretch from base 1 to 105 matches the Rfam family "5.8S ribosomal RNA", at positions 50 to 154 of the family's 154-position model. The record is from RNAcentral. RNAcentral also lists the same sequence under 2 other names. Lineage: Eukaryota; Fungi.
GAAAUGCGAUACGUAGUGUGAAUUGCAGAAUUCAGUGAAUCAUCGAAUCUUUGAACGCACAUUGCGCCCUUUGGUAUUCCAAAGGGCAUGCCUGUUCGAGCGUCAUUUGUACCCUCAAGCUUUGCUUGGUGUUGGGCGUUGUUUGUCUUUGGUCCGCCCAAAGACUCGCCUUAAAACAAUUGGCAGCCGGCCUACUGGUUUCGCAGCGCAGCACAUUUUUGCGCUUGCAAUCAGCAAAAGAGGUUGGUCAUCCAUCAAGACUACAUUUAUACGUUUGACCUCGGAUCAGGUAGGGAUACCCGCUGAACUUAA